Molecule: ribosomal RNA, 516 nt
Filed under: Pseudomonas sp.
Lineage: Bacteria; Pseudomonadati; Pseudomonadota; Gammaproteobacteria; Pseudomonadales; Pseudomonadaceae
Description: bacterial SSU rRNA
Rfam family: Bacterial small subunit ribosomal RNA
Source: RNAcentral
CUCAGAUUGAACGCUGGCGGCAGGCCUAACACAUGCAAGUCGAGCGGAUGAAAGGAGCUUGCUCCUGGAUUCAGCGGCGGACGGGUGAGUAAUGCCUAGGAAUCUGCCUGGUAGUGGGGGACAACGUUUCGAAAGGAACGCUAAUACCGCAUACGUCCUACGGGAGAAAGCAGGGGACCUUCGGGCCUUGCGCUAUCAGAUGAGCCUAGGUCGGAUUAGCUAGUUGGUGAGGUAAUGGCUCACCAAGGCGACGAUCCGUAACUGGUCUGAGAGGAUGAUCAGUCACACUGGAACUGAGACACGGUCCAGACUCCUACGGGAGGCAGCAGUGGGGAAUAUUGGACAAUGNNNNAAAGCNNGAUCCAGCCAUGCCGCGUGUGUGAAGAAGGUCUUCGGAUUGUAAAGCACUUUAAANNNUANUUGUAAAGCACUUUAAGUUGGGAGGAAGGGUUGUAGAUUAAUACUCUGCAAUUUUGACGUUACCGACAGAAUAAGCACCGGCUAACUCUGUGCCAG